RNAcentral lists this ribosomal RNA (305 nucleotides) under uncultured bacterium. Its description in RNAcentral is "bacterial SSU rRNA". It matches the Rfam family "Bacterial small subunit ribosomal RNA", at positions 494 to 799 of the family's 1533-position model. The record is from RNAcentral.
UGGCCUACGGGGGGCAGCAGCCGCGGUAAUACGGAGGGUGCGAGCGUUAAUCGGAAUCACUGGGCGUAAAGCGCUCGUAGGCGGUAUGUCAAGUCAAGGGUGAAAUCCCCGCGCUCAACGUGGGAACUGCCUUUGAAACUGGCAAACUGGAGUGUGUGAGAGGAUAGUGGAAUUCCAGGUGUAGGAGUGAAAUCCGUAGAUAUCUGGAGGAACAUCAGUGGCGAAGGCGACUAUCUGGCACAUAACUGACGCUGAGGAGCGAAAGCGUGGGUAGCAAACAGGAUUAGAAACCCGAGUAGUCCCCA